Molecule: long non-coding RNA, 900 nt
Organism: Mirounga angustirostris (Northern elephant seal)
Lineage: Eukaryota; Metazoa; Chordata; Mammalia; Carnivora; Phocidae
Exons: 7
Source: RefSeq, a predicted model, not a curated record
GCCGCGACCGUGUGGGCGGCGCGUGAGUCUGAGCCCUGGUUACAGCCUCCUUUCUUCCUCUUCUAAAGUUCCAUAGAUUCCUUGUAGAAACUUUGGAACUGUUUUCCGAGCGAGAGAGCACGAGCAGGGGAAACAGCAGACGGAGAGGGAGAAGCAGGCUCCCUGCUGAGCAGGGAGCCCGAUGCAGAGCUUGAUCCCAGGACCCUGGGAUCAUGACCUGAGCUGAAAGCAGACACUUAACCAUCCGAGCCACCCAGGAGAUGCUUCAUCUCUCAUGAAUGGAUUAGUGUUCCUGUAAAAGAGACUCCAGAGAGCUCCCUCACCUUUCUACCAUGUGAGGAUACAGCAAAAGACAUCUUUUAUGAAUCAGGAAGAGGACUCUUACCGGACACCCAAUCUGCUGGCAUCUUGAUUUUGGACUUCCAGCUUCCAGAACUGUGAGAAUCUAGGGCUGUGACUGAAUACCAGAUAGGAAGAGGAUCAUAAAUUUCUGUUAUAUCUAGAUCUAGAUCAACAGGAGGACCUCUGGAUAUCACUGGAUUUUUUUCAAGAAGAUGAUCAGGUCAUUGGAGUACAUUCUAGAAUUCUCUGGAAGUUCAUCCCAGAUGUGACUCAAGAGGCGGGCUGACCUGGGUGAGGAGAUGGAAAUGCAUUCCUUCACAUUCAGUUCCUUGCUCUGGCGGUUAUCACCUCUAACAGGAUCUCUGUGCACUCAGCCCUCAGCCCAUGUCUCUCACAAACUGCAGAAGGCUGCAGGAAGGCUUUAAAAGACUGUCUUCAUAUGGUGUCAAGAUGGUUCCUGGAAGCUCCACACUUACUGGUUACUAAAGAUGAUGAUGUCACAGAAAGAUAGAAACCAUCUUGUCUUCAACAGCCUCCUCAACUCCUGAGAAGGAGGUU